GAUGAACGCUGGCGGCGUGCCUAAUACAUGCAAGUCGAGCGAACGGACGAGAAGCUUGCUUUUCUGAUGUUAGCGGCGGACGGGUGAGUAACACGUGGAUAACCUACCUAUAAGACUGGGAUAACUUCGGGAAACCGGAGCUAAUACCGGAUAAUAUUUUGAACCGCAUGGUUCAAAAGUGAAAGACGGUCUUGCUGUCACUUAUAGAUGGAUCCGCGCUGCAUUAGCUAGUUGGUAAGGUAACGGCUUACCAAGGCAACGAUGCAUAGCCGACCUGAGAGGGGGAUCGGCCACCCGGGAACUGAGACACGGUCCAGACUCCUAAGGGAGGCAGCAGUAGGGAAUCUUCCGCAAUAGGCGAAAGCCUGACGGAGCAACGCCGCGUGAGUGAUGAAGGUCUUCGGAUCGUAAAACUCUGUUAUUAGGGAAGAACAUAUGUGUAAGUAACUGUGCACAUCUUGACGGUACCUAAUCAGAAAGCCACGGCUAACUACGUG
This 497-nucleotide ribosomal RNA is filed under the name uncultured bacterium. RNAcentral describes it as "partial 16S ribosomal RNA". It matches the Rfam family "Bacterial small subunit ribosomal RNA", at positions 28 to 507 of the family's 1533-position model. The record is from RNAcentral.